Suricata suricatta (meerkat) is the source of this 648-nucleotide long non-coding RNA. RefSeq lists it as uncharacterized. The record is from RefSeq and is a predicted model, not a curated record. The transcript has 2 exons. Lineage: Eukaryota; Metazoa; Chordata; Mammalia; Carnivora; Herpestidae.
UGGGCCCAGCUGAGUCUUCAUUAGGACGAGGCUCCUGAAUGGUCCCAUGCUCUGACGGCAUCGCACAGAGGUGUUGCCAUGGUUUCGAAAUUAUAUAUUAAUUUGGAUUCCCACUAGCACUACAGGAGGGUCCCCAUUUCACCACACCCUUGUUGAAGAAAAUUCCAACUGAAAGUAAGCACUCUGCCAAGAGAGUCUUUCAGAACACGGCGGGGACACGGAGCAAGGAGGCUUGCGCACACCUCCUGUUUCAGCCUCUGGAACACCACGGGCUUUUGACUUUUGUCAAUUGCAACUUGUCAAUUGCACGUCCACCACCUCCUCCAACAGGACUUUGGACGGGAACUGAGAUCGUGCACCGAAUAGCCAAUCCUGCAGCAGAAUGUCAGUUUAACUCUGUCAGCACCAGUCAGAAUGCCUUCAAAACAAGUUAUGUAACGUUAUGGUUUCUGCCUUUAGAAGUCUACUCCCGGCUCACAAUGUGGGGCACACUUUCGGGUUUGGCUCCCUCUCUGUGUCUUCAGGAUUACAAUUCUCCUAAGACCCCAAAUACGCACUUUUGGUCCAGGCUUCUUCUUCUUGGUCAACACCCUCGUUAACAAUGGAAGAUGAUACUAUUAAAGAAGAAAAAAAUCUUGGCUAAUUUGA